CCUACGUGGUGCAGCAGUGAGGAAUAUUGGUCAAUGGACGGAAGUCUGAACCAGCCAUGCCGCGUGCAGGAAGACGGCUCUAUGAGUUGUAAACUGCUUUUGUACAAGGGUAAACCUGAAUACGUGUAUUCAGCUGAAAGUACUGUACGAAUAAGGAUCGGCUAACUCCGUGCCAGUAGCCGCGGUAAUACGGAGGAUCCAAGCGUUAUCCGGAUUUAUUGGGUUUAAAGGGUGCGUAGGCGGAUUGAUAAGUUAGAGGUGAAAUGUCCGAGCUUAACUCGGGAACUGCCUCUAAUACUGUUGAUCUAGAGAGUAGAUGCGGUAGGCGGAAUGUAUGGUGUAGCGGUGAAAUGCUUAGAGAUCAUACAGAACACCGAUUGCGAAGGCAGCUUACCAAUCUAUAUCUGACGUUGAGGCACGAAAGCGUGGGGAGCAAACAGGAUUAGAUACCCGUGUAGUC
RNAcentral lists this ribosomal RNA (460 nucleotides) under uncultured bacterium. RNAcentral describes it as "partial 16S ribosomal RNA". It matches the Rfam family "Bacterial small subunit ribosomal RNA", at positions 338 to 795 of the family's 1533-position model. The record is from RNAcentral.